This 253-nucleotide ribosomal RNA is filed under the name uncultured bacterium. RNAcentral describes it as "partial 16S ribosomal RNA". It matches the Rfam family "Bacterial small subunit ribosomal RNA", at positions 524 to 776 of the family's 1533-position model. The record is from RNAcentral.
UACGGGGGGGGCAAGCGUUGUUCGGAAUUACUGGGCGUAAAGGGCGCGUAGGCGGUCCGCUAAGUUGGAUGUGAAAACUCUGGGCUUAACCCAGAGCCUGCAUUCAAAACUGACGGGCUAGAGUUCUGGAGGGGAUAGCGGAAUUCCUGGUGUAGCGGUGAAAUGCGUAGAUAUCAGGAGGAACACCGGUGGCGAAGGCGGCUAUCUGGACAGAAACUGACGCUGAGGCGCGAAAGCUAGGGGAGCAAACAGG